Long non-coding RNA from Betta splendens (Siamese fighting fish), 397 nucleotides. RefSeq lists it as uncharacterized. The transcript has 3 exons. NCBI's taxonomy places the organism in Eukaryota, Metazoa, Chordata, Actinopteri, Anabantiformes, Osphronemidae. The record is from RefSeq and is a predicted model, not a curated record.
AUGAAUCCGAGGCGCCGAGAGUUCUGGAAAGCCUCGCUGCGCGCGCGGAGGAAGCGAGCCGCUUUCCACCCUCCGCACACGAGGCUGCGUGGAUCAAUGAUGCCCGUCCGCGUCCCCGUGGGGAAGGCCCGUCGUUCAGGGGAGAUGUAUGGAUGCCAAGAAGGAACAAAGUCACCAUGGUGAUGAGGUGAUGAGCUUGUUGUCUCAUAAGGGUGGAGGAGACAAAAUAAACAGAACCUCCAUGAGGUUCCAUACACACUACUACGAAGACAUGCGUCAGUUCACAUGUCCGUACCUCUAGGAUGACAUCAGUCCUGGACAGACAGCGUCCUCUGCAGAAGCUAACCUCCACGUUGUCGAGUCGACAGUCGCCCUUGGUGAGGUUCCUGACCUGAAC